This 256-nucleotide ribosomal RNA is filed under the name uncultured bacterium. RNAcentral's name for it is "partial 16S ribosomal RNA". It matches the Rfam family "Bacterial small subunit ribosomal RNA", at positions 524 to 777 of the family's 1533-position model. The record is from RNAcentral.
UACGGAGGAUCCAAGCGUUAUCCGGAUUCAUUGGGUUUAAAGGGUGCGUAGGCGGAAUGAUAAGUCAGUGGUGAAAUCCUUCAGCUUAACUGGAGAACUGCCAUUGAUACUGUCAAUCUUGAGUACAUUUGAUGUGGGCGGAAUGUGUCAUGUAGCGGUGAAAUGCUUAGAUAUGACACAGAACACCGAUUGACGAAGGCAGCUCACAAAACUGUAACUGACGCUGAGGCACGAAAGCGUGGGUAGUCAAACAGGA